Molecule: small nucleolar RNA, 138 nt
Organism: Ornithorhynchus anatinus (platypus)
Lineage: Eukaryota; Metazoa; Chordata; Mammalia; Monotremata; Ornithorhynchidae
Source: RefSeq, a predicted model, not a curated record
CUCCUCUCAGGAUCACACCUGGAGAGUUUCCAAUACCAUACCAGUCUCGGCUAUGGGAGGGAGAGUCAAACAGAGGCAUACUCAUUCCAUUCCUAGCUUGGGUAGUGGCUAGUGAGUGGAAGGCAAUCUGCUACAAGU